Pygoscelis adeliae (Adelie penguin) is the source of this 231-nucleotide long non-coding RNA. RefSeq lists it as uncharacterized. The transcript has 2 exons. NCBI's taxonomy places the organism in Eukaryota, Metazoa, Chordata, Aves, Sphenisciformes, Spheniscidae. The record is from RefSeq and is a predicted model, not a curated record.
GAGCCAGAGCUGAUUUCUGAAAAUCCAGCCUCCUCCACCCCACGGCCCCGAUCUCCCAGCUGAUAGCAGGAGAGACAGAUAGGCCAGGAACGAGGAUCCUCAGUCAAUAGGAUGUCAAGGAGGAGAAACCGGCUUUUGGAGGGCAGGGGAGAGACACGGUUGCGGCCGUACAUCUUGCUGGAAUACGCACACGCGGAUUAACACAAAUUCCUAUUUUCAUGCCUCAAAACG